GGUUGCGAUCAUACCAGCACUAAUGCACCGGAUCCUAUCAGAACUCCACAGUUAAGCGUGCUUGGGCGAGAGUAGUACUAGGAUGGGUGACCCCCUGGGAAGUCCUCGUGUUGCAACCC
This 119-nucleotide ribosomal RNA is filed under the name Helianthus annuus (common sunflower). Lineage: Eukaryota; Viridiplantae; Streptophyta; Magnoliopsida; Asterales; Asteraceae. The record is from RNAcentral.